This 561-nucleotide long non-coding RNA is filed under the name Phoenix dactylifera (date palm). RNAcentral describes it as "long non-coding RNA (PDAC_LNC019506)". Lineage: Eukaryota; Viridiplantae; Streptophyta; Magnoliopsida; Arecales; Arecaceae. The record is from RNAcentral.
GAGCACCCAAGUAUAAAUUAGCCUUACAACUCUCUAACGGAAAACUUAAUAACUUCAACUUAAGUUGCAUACUGACCUAGGAUUUGGGCUGACUUAGUAAUUAACACUUUGUGUGCAUUUGAAAUUCUUGGCACUUAUGCAUAUGAAAUUAGAUUUUAUAAAACAAUAAACUCUUUGGGUAGAGACAACAGUUUGUGGGUAUCUGAGCCGGAAACCCUCACGAGACAAAACUCGUCCACUAGGGCCACCUAGGGGUUUAAAGCCUUAUUGCAUACGGUAAAUCCAAUCGUGAUUCCUGCGAAAGUGAGUUAGUUUUUUUUAUUUUACUCGAGGACUAGAAAAAUGUAGGUUGGAGGGUGUGAUAAGUGCUAAAUAAUAUAUAAAUUAACCUCUUUCUCCUAGCACUUAUCAUUAUUUUAACACACACAUUUCAUAAAUUUAACCAUAAAAUAUGUGUUACCAUCAUCAUUGCAUUUUAAUAAUUAUAAGAGGUGAUUCGAGUUGAUUUAAUUAUUUAAUGAUUAAGUCUAAUGUGUGCAGGUCGAGUCGAACUAAUUGGAA